Long non-coding RNA from Nicotiana attenuata, 433 nucleotides. RefSeq lists it as uncharacterized. The record is from RefSeq and is a predicted model, not a curated record. NCBI's taxonomy places the organism in Eukaryota, Viridiplantae, Streptophyta, Magnoliopsida, Solanales, Solanaceae. The transcript is spliced from 2 exons.
UAAACCAUCCACUUGGCCUCCAAAUUCCAAAAUAUUCUAAUUAGUAAAGUUGCUUUGGUUUAAAAAGAUAAGACAAAAUCAAAACCUAAAAGCAAGAAUCGAAUAGAGAAAGAAAAGCAAUGGUUUUUAACAGUCCAGUGGUGGGGAAGGCGGAUUCGAGUCGGACAGCUUUGCUAAAGGGUGGAGGGAUCCCAUCAAUCCAGUACGCCCCUUGGUAGUUUCUGGAAUAAUGUUAAUAUAUGCCCACAUGUAGUGCUGUGUCUGUAAUAAUGAUCCUUUUUUUUUUCCUUACUGAGGAAUAUGUCAUUUUGAUCCUUUUUUCUUGUUAUGGGGGAAAGAUUUUCUAGAUUGGUUAUGAUAUCUAAAUUGGUUAAAGAUUUAAUUUUUGGCUGUUUUUUUGUCAAUUAAAUGAUUAGCUAAUGGUUAUUGUAGA